GCUCAGGGCAAAUUGGUCCUCCACCCAGAGACUCUCCCUUUAGGUGGGUCUGGCUCCCAGCCUCCCCUGAGAUUUCCCUGGCUCACCAGGGGGCUGUGUCUGGUGGCAGAGAGGGCUUUGGAGGAGGCAUUGCCCUGAAACCCUGGCAGAGCCUGGGCACCUAAGAGAGAAUGAGCAACAGGGCUAGGAAGUGUGACAGGGAGUCCACAACCUCCCAGGAUCUUGGGAGGGCAGGGAUGAGGCACUGAGCACGGCCUGGAAGCCCACGGGAAGCAGGGACCCCUCUGUCGAGGGCUACACCUACUGCUCUCAGCAUCAAGCCUGCAGCCAGGCUUGGCGGCCGCGGUGGUGCGAUCAGCAAAGGGCACCGGGAUGCCGGUUGUGCGUGUCCUCAGGUGUCCCGAACAAGCGUGAGUGGCAUGUGCUCACCUGAGCGCGGCGGCUUGGCGGCCCCGGGCGUGUGGGUGGGGGCGCGGCGGAGAGCUGAGGCCGGGCACCCGGGCUGGACCGACGGGCCCUCUCCCAAGCACCGCCCGCAGCCAGGCGGCUCCUCGAGCGCAGCAACUUUGGGACUUUGUUCCGGCUUUUUCCAAAUCGAAUCUGGUCG
Molecule: long non-coding RNA, 607 nt
Filed under: Pan troglodytes (chimpanzee)
Lineage: Eukaryota; Metazoa; Chordata; Mammalia; Primates; Hominidae
Description: long non-coding RNA NONPTRT006087
Source: RNAcentral